RNAcentral lists this unclassified non-coding RNA (169 nucleotides) under uncultured Trichocomaceae. Its description in RNAcentral is "sequence contains ITS2". The record is from RNAcentral. Lineage: Eukaryota; Fungi; Ascomycota; Eurotiomycetes; Eurotiales; Trichocomaceae.
CUACCCCUCAAGCGCGGCUUGUGUGUUGGGCGCUGUCCCUCCCCUUAUUCGGGGGGACAGGCCUGAAAGGCAGUGGCGGCGUCGCGUCCGGUCUUCGAGCGUAUGGGGCUUUGUCACCCGCUCUGUGAGGAUCCGGCCGGGGCCUGUCUCACCCCCCAAUCUUCUCUAA